GACGAACGCUGGCGGCGUGCUUAACACAUGCAAGUCGAACGCUGAACCCGCUUCGGUGGGGGAUGAGUGGCGAACGGGUGAGUAACACGUGGGCAACCUGCCCCCGGCUCUGGGAUAACUCCAAGAAAUUGGGGCUAAUACCGGAUGUGACCGCUGGCCGCAUGGUCUGGUGGUGGAAAGGGUUUCCGGCUGGGGAUGGGCCCGCGGCCUAUCAGCUUGUUGGUGGGGUAGUGGCCUACCAAGGCGACGACGGGUAGCCGGCCUGAGAGGGUGACCGGCCACACUGGGACUGAGACACGGCCCAGACUCCUACGGGAGGCAGCAGUGGGGAAUAUUGCGCAAUGGGCGGAAGCCUGACGCAGCGACGCCGCGUGGGGGAUGACGGCCUUCGGGUUGUAAACCUCUUUCAGCAGGGACGAAGCGCAAGUGACGGUACCUGCAGAAGAAGCACCGGCCAACUACGCG
Molecule: ribosomal RNA, 465 nt
Filed under: uncultured bacterium
Lineage: Bacteria
Description: partial 16S ribosomal RNA
Rfam family: Bacterial small subunit ribosomal RNA
Source: RNAcentral